RNAcentral lists this long non-coding RNA (1507 nucleotides) under Equus asinus (donkey). RNAcentral's name for it is "lncRNA (ENSEASG00005030237.1)". The record is from RNAcentral. Lineage: Eukaryota; Metazoa; Chordata; Mammalia; Perissodactyla; Equidae.
UGUGCAGUUCCUUUCCUCCCUUAGCAGGCCUGGCACAUUCUGCCUGUGUUGUGUGGUGACUUCACUCUGGUUGGGGGCCUGGCAGGAAGCCAACCACCUCUUCCUGGUUUUCCUGGGACUCUCCUGGUUUUAGCAUUGCAAGUCCCACAGCAAAAUGGGACAGCUGGUCACCCUACGUCCUGGGACGGAGGGCACUCACGGGGAAAGACAUGCAGUUUUUUGCUCCCUUAGGGAUGGGGUGGGCCGCUGCCACAGGCUCAGAAGUUUCAGAGGCAUCUGGGGAGUCUAGCUCUUCCAGGGCCCUCGCCUGGAUGUGCCUGUCUCUUGUGUCAGGGGUGCGGGUUUUCCCGACGGGGCUUCUGAUGUUGGCCUGACAGACCUGCCUUGGUGAACGUUCAGCCGUCUUUGAAGUUCAGCCACUCCUAUCAAAUCCUGGGUUUGCCCUUCGUCCACUGCCUGAGAUGGGACUCUGGGGCUCCUCCUUAGUUUUCACUCGGUUAAUCACCCCAGGCUUCUCAUCGCCCUGCAGGUCAUCAAAGCAAGAGGGUCACCCUUCUCCUUCCCCUUGUCCUUCGAGUUUUCCUUCCCGUACGUGCCACACGCCUGGGUCCCCUCGCCUGCCCGGAAAUUCCUCUCCAUCCGCUGGCCCAGCGAAGAGUUCUGACAGGAACAUUCUAGCUGCUGGGCUGUCUGCACACCACCAACCCCCAGGAUGGGCUCCUCAUUACCAGUGGGGCGGGUGAUAAGCAAUCCCGCACCAAGACCCUGUCUUAGCACCUGCUUUUUGGACCACUCGAGAAGCAACCGUCUCAGGUGGAAUACUUCAGGAAGCUUCCCCCGAGAGGGAGUGAGGUGUGCCAAAGGCUGACUGGAGACUAACACCCACGAAGGGAGCAGGGUGAAGCAGGGCUGGACAGGGUGUCCCUUCAGCCUGCAACGCCGAGCUGACAGUCUCUCCCAGCCCAUCGGGGAGCUGCAGAGCAGGGAUCGGCCUUUGAGGACCCGCACUCGGCCGGGUGGUCAGACCCUCACUGUGCCUGAGGCCUUGCAAUCCAGGUGGACCGAACGGGUCAAUCAACACCCAGAAUUGGUGCCCCAGGAAUGCGUGCAUACCAAGUAGCACACAUAGGGCGCCAGGUGCCUUUCCUCGGGCAAAACCGUGCUCCACACUGCGGCCGGCCUGGUGGGGGGUGUUUCGGCCUCUUGUGUGUCAGGAGACUGCUGGGUUCAGAAGCUGGUGUGCUUCCAGGGCGUUUGCCAGCUUGGCGUCUCUUAGCAUCGCUGUAAGCCCAGGCUGAUGGGAGAGGGCAGACCUGGGUAGGGAACAGCACAGGGCAAAGCAGAGUUGUCAGCAGCCACCCGUCCUGUAAGAGGCUCCUUGACGAUGCAGGUCCACAGGCGCACUCAGCUCUGCGUCCCUCAGGGCUGGUGGGGGCAUCUUCCAGGCAGUCCUGUAAACCACCUGAUCUGAAUCGAGGCCCUAUGGGGUCAGGAAAACGUGAAGGGG